UGCUUAUUGGUCCUGCUAUAAGGCCAGGUCGCAGUGUCUCUCACCUGGAUCUGCUACAGUCAUGAUUGAAAAUUGCUGACUUACACAGGUAAUAGACUCUCUUUAAAGAUAUCUCUCUAAUGUAUUUACUUUCCAGAAAGCAAAAUGCCAGGCUGCUAACAGAUGAGUUGUUUGUACUUUAAAAGUUUACUGUUCCAGUUAGGACAUUCUUGAUGGUAUUUUGUAUUCUCUUUGCAGUGCAGCCAGCUGAUUCAUGCUGUAUUCUGAAGGUUAUGAGUCUCCAUGUGAUGUUAAGAACUAUAUGUCUGAACCAUUAAAGAAGAAGUGUAUAAAAUGCAAUGCUGCUCAGUGGAAGUAUAUGAACCAGAAGUAUUUCAUUUUAUGCCACGGCUCUGGUUACAUUUGUAGCUUUUGAGCACUGGCAUGUCUUCUACUUUCUCUCACUUUUGGAGUUAUAGCUGUCUUCUCUGUUGGAAAAACAUAGAGCAAGGUUGUUACCAGAUAAGCUUUCUGUAUUUAUUAGAUAUAUUUUCAAUUCAACUCAAAAAUGCCUAUAUCUACUGAGUUACUGCUGUAAGUAAGGUUUAUGGCUAGAUGCCAAGAGGCCUACCAAGCUGAUUAUGACAUAGCUCCUGUUUUUUUUUUUUUUUGGUGGAGGAGGGAGCUUGUAAGUACACCCAUAACUGAAAGGCAUGGCAGAAUGUGCUAGAGAUUCUCAGAGGAGUACAAAGAAAUAGAUUCAAAAAGAAGGGAGAAACAUUUGUUUAGAAGAUGUGGAAAAAUUGCAUGAAAAAAUAUCUUUUGAGAUGUGCACUGAAAGAUGAGUAGGAUUUGAAAAGACAGAGCUUGUUCAGGGUAAAGGAAUUCCAGGAAAAAGGAACAUCAUGAAUUCAGCUAUAAAAUCUGGGAAAGUGUGAAGUACAAUUGAAGAAGAAUGGGUAGUCAUGGCUGAGGCCUUGGGGGCUUAUAGAGGAAUAGACAGAUCUUUGCCCAUCUAAGCCUCCUACUCCCCUCUCUAGUGUAUAUGAGUUAUAACCCAAUCAAAGACUACGUUUCCCAUAUUACUUUGGAAUGGAGGCAGAAAUGAUGGGUUAUUUCCAGGCCUCAUGUGCCAGUUAGAUAUUAAAUUAUGGGAUAACCUUGAAAGCCUCAUAUUGAAGUUGAUAUAGCUUCUGUCAGCUUGGAUGCUGAAUGACUGAGUGGAGCAGAGCACUCCCUACCUUUCCUUUCCUACCUUGAGUAGGAAAAGGAAAAAAAAAUCCCUUCAGUGUGUUAAGCCACUGAGAUAUUGAGUUUUCUUAAGGCAGCUGUUGUUUACCUUUAAUGUGGCAGUUAAAAGGGAAGGAUAGACUUGGCCUAUGUUUUUACAACUCAGCAUGAUAUAGUAGAAAAAACUGUAGUCUAGAAAACAUGGAUUUCACUUAUUUAUUUGUUCAUUCAUUCAUUUGCUCAUUCAUUCAUUCAUUUGCUCAUUCAUUCACUCAUUCAUUCAUUUCAUAUUUAUUGAGAUUUUACAGACUGUCAAAUCUGAAUGCUGGACAUGUUAUGAUUAACAAUGCAUAGUUCAUGGCCCUAUGGAACAUACGGUGGAGUGGAAGAGAAUGAAAUAUAACCAGGCUGUGAGGAUACACUGCAAUGUCUUAUUUCCCAAAGUGUGGUCCUCAGACCAGCAGCAUCAGCGUCACUCAGGAGCUUGUUAGAAAUGCAGAAUCUCAGGCCCCACUCUCAAAUCAACAGAAUCAUAGACUGCAUUUUUGACAAGAUUCUAAGGUGAUUUGUGGGCACAUUAAAGUUUGAGAAGCCCUGGUAAAAUGAGUGGUAUUGUAGGGACAGGCAGGGGGCAAUGAGGACUCAAAGAAAGGACACUUAGACUUGAAAGUUUCCAGAAGGCUCCCUAGACUAGAUGGCAGCUAAACUGGCUUGUGAGCAGCACGUUUUGGUCAUAAAGAUUGUGCGAAUUUGGGUAAGCCACAUAUGUUCAGCUUUGAUUUUCUUGUCUAUAAAAAUAGGGAUAGUAUUACGAGGCUGUUUUGAGCUUCAGGACCUUCCAAGAUUGUUUUGAAGCUCAAAUAUAUGUAAAAGUAAGAGUGAUUUGAAUACUCAAAAACUGAAUAUGAAUGGAAAACUUAUACUUUUUCAGCGACAGUUAAAUUAUAGAAAAGAUGUGUUCUUUGGCAUAAUAAUGCAUUUUAGCAGUGUUUAGUAAGAAAAAAUAUCUAGUAUGGAUUCUUUGUUUUGAUUAAACACAGAACUGAAAGAAGUUUUUCCUCCUACUUAUUGCAGAAGGGUGUAACAUCUGAAAAAUAGGUCUGGUAUGUUGGUCAAAUAGAGUGUCUGCUGGAGUUGGAAAAUGCAUUCUCUUGGGGUUUGUGCAGUCUGGACUUCAAUCAUUUGUGUUCUUAUAUAGUGUAUCCAAAAUAUACAUAGAGACAGUGGGAAGGGACUUUCUUCUGGCUAGGGGAAACAUCAAUUCCUUGACACAAACAAAAAUUGAAUUAAGAGUUUAUUCUGAAUUAAUAGUACUGAGGAAGGUUAAUGAAAAAUAAACAAAGAGUAGUCAUUAAUUAAAAAUAUUAGCAAUCCAGUAAUAUAGUCUCCGUAUGGAGCAUCCUCACUACUAACAGGCAUCUUUAGCAUUUAUUAGAUUUCAGGCAAGGCUCUCUUUAGUAGCCUUUGUUCAGGCACACAAAAUGACCUGCUCCUUUAUACUUCUGUACUUUUAAACAAUCUAUUUAUUUAUUUAGAUGGAGUCUCACUCUGUCACCCAGGCUGGAGUGCAGUGGCACGAUCUUGGCUUAAUGCAGCCUCUGCCUCCUGGGUUCAAGCGAUUCUCGUGCCUCACCCUCCCGGGUAGCAUGUGCCUGCCACCACGCCCAGCUAAUUUUUGUAUUUUUAGUAGAGACGGGGUUUCACCAUGUUGGCCAGGGUGGUCUUGAACUCCUGACCUCAAGUUAUCCACCUGCCUUGGCCUCCCAAAGUGCUGGGAUUACAGGCAUGAGCCACCUCAACCAGCCCUUCUAUGCUUUUGCACAUGGUUUUUCCCUUUGCCUGGACUGUUCUUCCUCAUCUUGAUCACCUCGGCCGCCAUCUCAGCCACCAGAAGACUUCCUGCAAGACUUGGUUCAGACAUCACAGUUCAGACAGGAUGAAGCCUUUAUCAACCUUCCUCUGUAGUGCCAUGCAGGCAAGAAAAGUGUAUUGAAUUACACUGUGUCCGUCAUUCAAUGUGUUUAUCUCACACCUGAUACUGUGACAGCCUGAGGACUGUACUGUGUCAACUCAUUUCUUAUCCUUAGCAUCUGGCAUGGUGCCCAGCACAUAACAGGUCCUAAAUAAAUGUUUGUUGAAUGAAUAUAAAAGUCUGGCAGCUUUAAGAAUAAAUAAAUAAACAAAAAACUUCGUUCUAAUCCUGAUGGAAGUUUAGUUACUUCUGUCUCUCAGAAGGGGAAUCCUGUCAAAUAGUCUAACAAUGUGUAAAAGGAGGUAGUUACUCACAGAUCUUAGAGGUUUCUAUCAAAACAUGCUUAGAUAUUAAUAGGUACCUAACAUUAGAAAUUCCUUAACCCAGAAAGGCUACUUAUAGAAAUUUAUCUUAAGGUAAUUAAGAAUGUGCAUAAAGACCUAGCUAUAAAGAUGAUCAUUUUAUUCUGUUUAUAAUACCAAAACACUGUAAAUGUGCUACGUAGCCAACAAUUGUGUAUUAGUUAAAUAAAUUAUAGUAUAAAAUUAAAGCGAUGAUGUAAAAUGUAUUUACUAAUUUGGAAUGAUAUUCAUGUUACAAUUUUUCUA
This 3789-nucleotide long non-coding RNA is filed under the name Homo sapiens (human). Its description in RNAcentral is "non-protein coding lnc-ASF1A-7:1". Lineage: Eukaryota; Metazoa; Chordata; Mammalia; Primates; Hominidae. The record is from RNAcentral.